Molecule: RNA transcript, 1462 nt
Organism: Zea mays
Lineage: Eukaryota; Viridiplantae; Streptophyta; Magnoliopsida; Poales; Poaceae
Gene name: protein-like pseudogene
Exons: 4
Source: RefSeq, marked validated
GGGAGGGCUGUUGUUGUCGGAGGCUAUGAUCAGAUUUGUCCCGGAGCGCGGCGGUGUCGGUGGCCGUCGUCGUCUUGGGCGGGCUGUUGCUGUCGUCGCAAACUGGAAGAAGGCUCGAGUCGUCGAAAGGUAUGGUCCCUGAUGAAUCCGGGGCACCAACGGCUAGGCCUCACCGCCGAGGGAUAUCUUCCACCUGUGUGCGCGCGGCUACUUCUCCUGUGGCAGCGGGAAGCGCGGCAAGGCGCUGUCCGCCGCGGACUAGCUGCUCCGCCCCGCCGUCAUCAAAUGGCUUCGCUCACGCGUGCUCCUCGACCACGUACUCGCCCGCGAAGAGAACCGCGUCACCGCCGCAUUCCGUUGUGUGUGCCUUGGGAAGGACCCCUCCACCCACUUCCUCCUCACCGUCAAUCUCUAGGUGCACUGCACCCCCACCUCCAGGCCCCGACCCCUGGUCGUGCCAUGCCGCAUCUAGAUUCCACCAGGGACAUACAAGGAGGCGCGUGAUGCUAUUUCUUUUCUUUCUUUUGAUCCCAUAGGUAUCAGGUCGGCCAGAUGCGUACAACGUCGUGUUCUACUUGGUGGUGGAAGCGCCCAUCCCAGCCGACGGACUCGCUGCUGGGCUGCUUCAUCCACGACAACGGCGCGUCGUCGACGGGCCGUGGCUCAUCUGCGCCACCGUAGCAGCUACGUGCGUGGCUUGCCUGCUUGGGCAUGCGCCCACGUGCCGCUACCACAGGGAUGAUGGCUACCUUGAGAUCGACGUGGACAUCGGCAGCUUGGCGAUCGCCAAGCCGUUCUGCACCUCGCGCUCGGCGCCAUCAUGUCGGUCACCAUCGACAUGGGUCGCCAAGCCGUUCUGCACCUCGCGCUCGGCGCCAUCAUGUCGGUCACCAUCGACAUGGGGUUCCUUGUCGAGUCCCAACCUGAGGAGGAGCUGCCCGAGAGGCUGUUCGGCGCCAUGCGUAUCGCGCAGAUGGAGAUGGGCACAACCGGGUACGUGAAGCUGCCUCCGAUGUGGCCAUGCCGGAGACGGCCGCAGGGCUAAGGCCAGUUUCAGGGUAAGCUUAGCGAAGCUGGUCAACUAUAGCCGCUAGUAAGACCAUGCCGGUGGCAAGGUGGGCAGGUCAAUGAGUUGCCCGGAGCGAUAGCGAGCAGUGAAGGGCCACAUAAUCAUUCCACGUUUUGACACUGGAGUAUGUCCAUUUUUUCUACUAUUGUUGAAGUCUUAGACUUGAGUCAAAAUCACAGUGUGAAGAAGCACAAGGGAUACGAAGGAUGGAACGAAGCCGAAGCUGUGCGCAAGGGAGCUUCGGCGUGAUAACAGAAAAGGAAACCGACUUAAAGGGGAAAAGGCUAUCUAGACCCCGAUGAAUUACUAUAGAAUUAUUAGCAAAUGUAAAGGGCAUGAGUGUAAUUUUACAUGGGCUGCGUCAUGUGCCUAUAAAUAGAUGAACAAUGCUCC